CUUAGCAGGACCCGGUCGCAAGAAGAAGGACAUGGGUUCACCGUCCACAGUCAUGAACAGAACGGGGGAGAUGUCAGAUAUGGCCUCAUCCUGCUGUUCGGACGGCAUGGUUUAUAAGGUCUCACCUAGUGGAGGAGGCUUUCCCGCCGCAACAAAACCAAAACACAGCCACAGGCUACUUCCGGGUCUUCAACUUCCUCGGCGGAUUGAUUCCAGGUAGUGUUGCGUUACUGCCCCCUCUGUUGGCUGUUUGAGACCAUGUGAAGGAAUUGGGCUGGCCUGUUUACUGUAUCACCUCAGCAACCUUUCCUCCCUCGCAGUCUUGACAGCUACUUUAUUGUUAUUGGCUUUAUUGUUCCUCUCUCUCCAUGGCCCAACCAGCUGAAACAAUACAACAGCUACGAGGUGCUGCAAC
Long non-coding RNA from Eleginops maclovinus (Patagonian blennie), 415 nucleotides. RefSeq lists it as uncharacterized. The transcript is spliced from 3 exons. NCBI's taxonomy places the organism in Eukaryota, Metazoa, Chordata, Actinopteri, Perciformes, Eleginopidae. The record is from RefSeq and is a predicted model, not a curated record.